UACGUAGGGUGCAAGCGUUGUCCGGAAUUACUGGGCGUAAAGCGUGCGCAGGCGGUUCGUUGUGUCGGCGGUGAAAGCCCCGGGCUUAACCUGGGAAUGGCCGUUGAAACUGGCGAACUGGAGUGUGGCAGAGGGGGGUGGAAUUCCGCGUGUAGCAGUGAAAUGCGUAGAGAUGCGGAGGAACACCGAUGGCGAAGGCAGCCCCCUGGGCUAACACUGACGCUCAGGCACGAAAGCGUGGGGAGCAAACAGG
This 253-nucleotide ribosomal RNA is filed under the name uncultured bacterium. RNAcentral describes it as "partial 16S ribosomal RNA". It matches the Rfam family "Bacterial small subunit ribosomal RNA", at positions 524 to 776 of the family's 1533-position model. The record is from RNAcentral.